RNAcentral lists this ribosomal RNA (253 nucleotides) under uncultured bacterium. RNAcentral's name for it is "partial 16S ribosomal RNA". It matches the Rfam family "Bacterial small subunit ribosomal RNA", at positions 524 to 776 of the family's 1533-position model. The record is from RNAcentral.
UACGAAGGGGGCUAGCGUUGCUCGGAAUCACUGGGCGUAAAGCGCACGUAGGCGGCUUUCUAAGUCAGGGGUGAAAUCCUGGAGCUCAACUCCAGAACUGCCUUUGAUACUGGGAAGCUCGAGUCCGGGAGAGGUGAGUGGAACUGCGAGUGUAGAGGUGAAAUUCGUAGAUAUUCGCAAGAACACCAGUGGCGAAGGCGGCUCACUGGCCCGGUACUGACGCUGAGGUGCGAAAGCGUGGGGAGCAAACAGG